ACCGGGCAUGGUGGCACACGCCUGUAAUCCCAGGAGCUUGGGAGGCUGAGACAGGAGGGUCGCGAGUCCAAAUCCACCUCAGCAAAAUAAGUGAGGUGCUCAGUGAGACCCUGUCUCUC
Molecule: non-coding RNA, 119 nt
Filed under: Leptotrombidium deliense
Lineage: Eukaryota; Metazoa; Arthropoda; Arachnida; Trombidiformes; Trombiculidae
Source: RNAcentral